GUCGAACGCCCCGCAAGGGGAGUGGCAGACGGGUGAGUAACGCGUGGGAACAUACCCUUUCCUGCGGAAUAGCUCCGGGAAACUGGAAUUAAUACCGCAUACGCCCUACGGGGGAAAGAUUUAUCGGGGAAGGAUUGGCCCGCGUUGGAUUAGCUAGUUGGUGGGGUAAAGGCCUACCAAGGCGACGAUCCAUAGCUGGUCUGAGAGGAUGAUCAGCCACAUUGGGACUGAGACACGGCCCAAACUCCUACGGGAGGCAGCAGUGGGGAAUAUUGGACAAUGGGCGCAAGCCUGAUCCAGCCAUGCCGCGUGAGUGAUGAAGGCCUUAGGGUUGUAAAGCUCUUUCACCGGAGAAGAUAAUGACGGUAUCCGGAGAAGAAGCCCCGGCUAACUUCGUGCCAGCAGCCGCGGUAAUACGAAGGGGGCUAGCGUUGUUCGGAAUUACUGGGCGUAAAGCGCACGUAGGCGGAUAUUUAAGUCAGGGGUGAAAUCCCAGAGCUCAACUCUGGAACUGCCUUUGAUACUGGGUAUCUUGAGUAUGGAAGAGGUA
This 550-nucleotide ribosomal RNA is filed under the name Agrobacterium tumefaciens. RNAcentral's name for it is "bacterial SSU rRNA". It matches the Rfam family "Bacterial small subunit ribosomal RNA", at positions 61 to 659 of the family's 1533-position model. Lineage: Bacteria; Pseudomonadati; Pseudomonadota; Alphaproteobacteria; Hyphomicrobiales; Rhizobiaceae. The record is from RNAcentral.